AACCUCUAAAUACAACAAACGGAAAACCAAAAGGGAAAAAGGAACGUUGGCGGCAAAAUCUCAAAUUUCCCUUUUUAGAAUCUCACAUAAUCCCCAAUCAAAAGCCCUACCAAAACCGCCACUGCCCAUACCCAAAUCGAACCCAACGCCGGCCCGGCCCCCGAACCUUCGAAGCUACCCGCGUUCGUUCCGGUCGUCAGAACCACCACCAUCCAGUCGUCUUCCUUCCCUAGCCCCGCACCGACGAAUCUUGAAUCGUUCAAAUACUUCGCGUACUGGGAGUGGGUGUAGUUCGUAAGCAGCAGAGUUUGGACUAGUUUUGGUACGCACACCGGCAUCACCACGGCGUCAGCGGUGGUGUUGAUAUCUACCUUGCAUUUCUCGGCGUAAUCCGGGAACUUCGUGAUUUGUGACGGUCGGCUUGCAACGACGUUUGAUUUGGUGGUGGUGACAGCACAGGGUUGGUCUUCAGCAUCGUCGGCCAUCUCGUUUGCAACGCAGUCGGCUUUUGCGUUCUUCACGAGCGGCGGGAGGUUUUGUGCUUGUCGGUAGCUGUUUAGGCCUUGGAGAAGAUUGUCCUCUUCAUCUGCAAUCAGAUUGCAAGAUCAUAAAGCAUUUGGAUGCAUUGUGGUAGCAAGUUGAUGCUCCUUAGUUUUGAUAUGGUUGCAUGCUAGAGAAGAAGGAGACGAAGACAAAAAAGACCUUACUCAAACCCAAUAAUAAAAAAUUGAAGAGGAUAGAAAAGAAGAAAAAAAAAAGGCAAGAAUGGUAGAUUUAUAACUUUGCACAUCCCCAAUGUCCAACUAAAGGGCAAUUAUUAUCGAUAUUCCUUUUUAAAUAUAGUGUGUUUUGCAUUUUGAAUCGUUUUUAAAAGAGUUAAGUUAA
Molecule: long non-coding RNA, 885 nt
Organism: Cucumis sativus (cucumber)
Lineage: Eukaryota; Viridiplantae; Streptophyta; Magnoliopsida; Cucurbitales; Cucurbitaceae
Exons: 2
Source: RefSeq, a predicted model, not a curated record